This 100-nucleotide non-coding RNA is filed under the name Streptomyces varsoviensis. Its description in RNAcentral is "Glycine sequence". It matches the Rfam family "Glycine riboswitch aptamer". From Rfam's summary of the family: This family represents the bacterial glycine riboswitch. The record is from RNAcentral. Lineage: Bacteria; Bacillati; Actinomycetota; Actinomycetes; Kitasatosporales; Streptomycetaceae.
GUAGUCCGCGCGGGAGAGUCCCAGUCACGCUCCGUGCGCUGGGCGCCGAAGGAGCAAGUUCCUCCCUUGAAUCUCUCAGGCCCCGUACCGCGCGGGCGAG